This is a non-coding RNA of Schistosoma mattheei, 45 nucleotides long. Lineage: Eukaryota; Metazoa; Platyhelminthes; Trematoda; Strigeidida; Schistosomatidae. The record is from Rfam.
CUCUAGCUGACGAGUCUCAAAUAGGACGAAACGUACGUCCUGGAU